RNAcentral lists this ribosomal RNA (557 nucleotides) under Sydowia polyspora. RNAcentral's name for it is "eukaryotic LSU rRNA". The stretch from base 200 to 353 matches the Rfam family "5.8S ribosomal RNA". Lineage: Eukaryota; Fungi; Ascomycota; Dothideomycetes; Dothideales; Dothioraceae. The record is from RNAcentral.
UGACUGCGGAGGAUCAUUAAGAGAUAGGGUCUUCAUGGCCCGACCUCCAACCCUCUGUUGUUAUAACUACCUUGUUGCUUUGGCGGGACCGUCUCGGUCUCCGAGCGCACUAACCCUCGGGUUGGUGAGCGCCCGCCAGAGUCCAACCAAACUCUUGUAUUAAACCAGUCGUCUGAGUAUAAAAUUUUAAUUAAAUUAAAACUUUCAACAACGGAUCUCUUGGUUCUCGCAUCGAUGAAGAACGCAGCGAAAUGCGAUAAGUAAUGUGAAUUGCAGAAUUCAGUGAAUCAUCGAAUCUUUGAACGCACAUUGCGCCCCUUGGUAUUCCGAGGGGCAUGCCUGUUCGAGCGUCAUUACACCACUCAAGCAUCGCUUGGUAUUGGGAACGGUCCGUCGAAAGGCGGGCCUUCCUCGAAGACCUCGGCGGGGUUCAACCAACUUCGGGCGUAGUAGAGUUAAAUCGAACGUCUUAUAAGCUUGGUCGGAUCUCAUUGCCGUUAAACCUUUAAAUUUUCUAGGUUGACCUCGGAUCUGGUAGGGAUACCCGCUGAACUUAA